RNAcentral lists this ribosomal RNA (455 nucleotides) under uncultured Anaerolineaceae bacterium. RNAcentral describes it as "bacterial SSU rRNA". It matches the Rfam family "Bacterial small subunit ribosomal RNA", at positions 917 to 1381 of the family's 1533-position model. Lineage: Bacteria; Bacillati; Chloroflexota; Anaerolineae; Anaerolineales; Anaerolineaceae. The record is from RNAcentral.
GACGGGCCCGCACAAGCAGCGGAGCGUGUGGCUUAAUUCGAUGUUACACGAAGAACCUUACCAGGGUUUGACGUGCAAGUGGUAGGAAGCCGAAAGGUGACCGACCCUUCGGGGAGCUUGCACAGGUGCUGCAUGGCUGUCGUCAGCUCGUGUCGUGAGAUGUUCGGUUAAGUCCGCUAACGAGCGCAACCCUCGCUGUGUGUUAUAUGUGUCACACGGGACUGCCGGUCUUAAGCCGGAGGAAGGUGGGGAUGACGUCAAGUCAGCAUGACCUUUAUAUCCAGGGCUACACACACGCUACAAUGGUCUGUACAAUGGGUAGCCAAGCCGCGAGGCGGAGCCAAUCCUGAAAGCAGGCCUCAGUUCAGAUUGCAGUCUGCAACUCGACUGCAUGAAGCCGGAGUUGCUAGUAACCGCAGGUCAGCAAUACUGCGGUGAAUACGUUCCCGGGUCUU